UCUCUCUGUUGCAUCAUCUUCCAAUGCAAGACUUUUCAAGAUCUCUAUUCCCAAGUGUUGUAAAGUAGGGUAUUUCUCCCCAUAUCUUAAUAAGUCCCUGAUGUUGCUAAUAGUGAAAACUAUCUCUGAAAUUUCUUUCCUUAGCUCUUUACCUGUGGCGCCUGCUGUGCUCGCCAGCAUCUUCACGACCUGGAGAGAUCGUUUAAGUGUCAAUAUCU
Molecule: long non-coding RNA, 218 nt
Filed under: Nicotiana benthamiana
Lineage: Eukaryota; Viridiplantae; Streptophyta; Magnoliopsida; Solanales; Solanaceae
Description: long non-coding RNA (NBEN_LNC000644)
Source: RNAcentral